Struthio camelus australis is the source of this 7138-nucleotide long non-coding RNA. RefSeq lists it as uncharacterized. The record is from RefSeq and is a predicted model, not a curated record. Lineage: Eukaryota; Metazoa; Chordata; Aves; Struthioniformes; Struthionidae.
UUUGCAACAUAUCUGUCUUCUAGGAUGCAGAGACUGCACUUUAGAACUGAAUUAUCAUGUAGACUCUUACCUAGGCAAGCAGAAGAAAUGUCAUUUUAACCACCCCUUUGAUAGAAAAAACAAGGAUUGGCACAACUGUAUCAGUAAGGAAGAUUUGGCCAAUGAUUCACUCCUUCCUUACCUGCAGAUUACAUUUGAUAACUCUGUAUCAGCCACAUCAGAAGUAACAGAAAUCAAGAAGAUCCAAAGGCUCAUGAAGAAUGCACUAGCUUGACAUUUCUUCUACUCCACCUGGAAUCUUUUAUCUCUGGGGCCAGAAAGGACUAGAUAGAUAUUAUACCCAGCUGUAAAAGAAGUAUGACUCUAUUGUCUACAUUCAAAGAUCUGACGGGGAUCAAAGAGAAUGAUAGCAGGAGCAGGCAAGUGGUGAAGAGAGAGAGCUGAAGGUGUUAUCCUGACAUAAUUUGCUUCUCCUGUGUCUGGGUGUUACCUGAUCUUUUUCCACAUGCAAUAUUUGGGGUGUUAUGAUGCUUCUGAAUCCUGUUCUCUGAAACCAUAUAUCAGAUGAGAAUAAAUUAGAUAGUUUUAUUGUAACAGUUACUGCACAGACCCAGAAAAAUAUCAGUUAGUAUUUGUAUUAAAAAUUCAUGGAUGCUCAAAUAAUUUGAAAAUACCCUUCUGUCUUGUAAGAAUUAACAUAGCUAGGUCUGCUUUUACUAACAUCCUCUUUGCCAGGCUUACUUUCCACUGGGGGACUGGCAAUCAGAGCAGUGUGAUUUCAUGGAAAACUGCAUUGCAAGUUGUUGAGAGCUUGUUUGGAAUAAAUAUUUUCUAUUACACCAUAGAGGCCACAGGGUUUUCUUUACAGUCUUGCCUUUGGGACUGAGGCAACUGAGUAGCAGUUUAAAAUGACCUUAUUUUAGGAUGAUCUCACCCCAGUGCUAAAUUGCUGAUCUGACAAACCUAAAGGAUGAAACAGUCCUAGUUUCAGAGAGCUGUAUAAGGAUAUCAUAAUGGGCAGAGUGGAAAGAAUCAGCACUUAGGAAGGAGGCAGACAGUCUCUUCAUGUUGUUCUUCUGUCCUGCUUAAUAUACAGGGAUCUAACAUGCUUAGAGCUCUGGCAACCAUUCUUUUUAAAAUUGAAUGCAAGUUUCAUCUUUAUACAGAUAUUUCAGAAGAUAGGGUCAUAUAGCUACCUGGGGACAGCAGCACGACAAUUCAGAAUUCUCUUGAUCCUGGUUUUUAAAAUACCAAUGUAUGCAACAGGCUAAAAGAGUUGAAGAGUUGUUUCAUAGCCACAGGACUGUCUCAAUUUUAGGUAAAUAAUUUAGAAUUCACAGAGUCCCUCAGAGUCUGAAUAGACUUUUUGUUAUUCUUCAUUUCACAAAUUGCAUUGUUAAUUACUAUUUCAUCAGCUGUAAUUGAUUUACAGGGAAAUAAUCCAGGCCUCAGAUGUUUCUUUUUUAUUUCAUGAAGUACCUUAAUGUUACAAUAUGAUGUUUCUGCCUAGCAGAUUCUUUUCCUGUUUUUCCUAUUGCACCAAGGGAGGUAUACAGCAUGAUUUGUAAAUAUUUCUAGACUUUGUAAUUUAAAUAAGUUCGGAAUAGGAGAAGUAGGAUGAGUAUAAAAAUGUUUUAUUAACAUGUUGAGAGCCACUACCUCUUCUGAAGAAGGUGAAAUAGGUGAAACAAAAAAAAAGCUCCCAAAAACUUAGAGCUCAUAACUUUCAAAUAAAUGGCUCCCUGAGAAACUCUUCAGCCUGCUAAGUAGCAAAAAAUGGAAAUAAAAAUGUUGUUUCAAAAUGAAAAAUGCCUCAAGGAGAAAACAAACUUAUAACUAAGUGGAGGUUUGCAAUUACUAUGCCAGCUGAGCUGGUGUACUCUAAAAAUUUAGAGUCAAAUGAUAAUGAUACAGAACAGAAUACAUUAUGCUCAAAUUCCAUGAGAGUAUUCCAUAGGUAAAGCCCUGUACACACUCAGAACCACAUUUAUUUCAUUUUUACCUAUGCAUAGUCAACUGGGAGAUAUGAGAAGGGACAAAGUAUGUAUAUUACUUUUGCAGGAGCAGCUUAUUGAUCCUCGUGUCUGCCAGCCUUGAAGGCAGCCACACUUUAGUAUUAAAAAAUUCACCUUGUAAAUUCUUAGAGAGCUCUGAAAUAAUAAAACAUUGACAAAGUUGUCGGGUACAGGUUCUGCUCUUCCCUCGUCUUUUCUCUCCAACAUAUGUACCUUUCCCCCACUAGCUCCAGAUGAGGGUGGUAGCAAGACGCUAUGGAGCUAUACAGCUCACUGAUCCUACAGGCAGGAAAUCACAGCAUUUGGGAGCUGCAGUCCCUCCCUUUCGCAUUCCCCUUCACAGCUUCCAAGAGCAGUUUUGCAGAAUCUAGACCCAUGCCCAUGAAGUGCUGCAGAAUCUGGACUUUGUCACAAUCUGCAUCCAACUGCCAUAUUUGAAUUAUUUUUCUUUAAAAAGAAAAACAACAAAAGAGCCAAAGCAUAUUCUACGAGAAAAUCUAAGCAGAAACUGUACACUAUAAAGGGAAGUGCAAGACUAGUGAUUAGAGGUACUUUUCUUUACUAUGUUUGUGUAAGGUUUAAUGAAAAAAACAAAAACAGAACUUUGUACGCUGAGAAACUGCAAACAUUUAGCAUCAGCGCAUUAGAUAGCUAGGGUUACUUACACUACUUUUUAAUUUUUUUCUGAAUAGAAAGUGAGAGAGCAACAAUGCCUCCUGGAGUAUAUUUUAAUUGCAUCCAGUGUUACAGAUCUUUCCGUGUAAAAUUUUAUGAUGAACCUUUUCUUCCUAAAAAAGACUAGCAAAUAAAUGAUCUGGAAAAGCAAUGAGGUACCUAUAGGUGCUUUCCUCUGAUGUAUCAUUCUUGAAAGCUCGUUUGGGACCUUUCCCUUUUUAUCCAAGAUGCCAGCAGGUGUCUCUUUGCACUGAAAUAACCAACCUUAGAGCUCAUAACUUAGCAAAAUGGUCAAGAUAACUGCCCAGAAGCACUUCUGUGCCACCUCUUGAGAUGAUGUUGUGCAACAAUAACUUCAUUAAACUAAUUUUCGUACAGAACUUAUGGUGUCCUUGACAUAGGCUGUUUAAUUUAUUUAAUCUAGUCACAGGGUUGUUUUGACAUUGCAUUGCAGCUGAGAGGUUUUCAAAACCCUAGCAUGCAUAAGUGAAGCAAUCCUACGAAAUGUUUGAAAUGUUAAGCUUUCAGCAAUUAAUCACCAGUUUUCUGUCAGAAAAAUUCCCAGUACUUUUUGCUUUCUGCAUAUGUUCCCAAUUAUAAACCUGAAAGAAAAAUCCCCAAACUUUUAGUCAAGUCACAUCGGCACCUAGCCCUGCAGUAUGUCCUCAGAGCUGAUAAGAACAGGUCACAUUCCGUACGGCCGAGGAAGGAGUCCUGGGCAGGCAGCAUCCUGUACUGAAUGUCCCACCAGAAAUUUGUCUGUUCUGUGCAAACUCAAUUAGUGGAAUACCCUACUCCAGCAACACCUCUCAGCACACAGUACUAAAGAAGUUGUCUCAUUAGAUUUAAAAUGUGUGACUCAUAGGAACAGCUGACAUACAUUUAUUAAUCACUUUAAUGAAAGAUAGCUAUGUUCCUCCUGCCAAUGACUAAAAGCAAGUAUUAGAGUUUAUUCUAUUAGUUUGGUGAAUUUAUGUCUAUGAAAAGUUUUUAUACACAAACUAAAAUUCAAAAAUAAAAUAAUGGAAAUAACAAAAAACAUAACAUGACAGACCUAGUAUUGUUUAACACCUGGAUAUACUAUUUCCAAAAUUAUAUUGUCUUACAGUCAACUAAUUCUCAGUUUACUUAGUUUACUACAUUAUAAUAUCUAUGUCCACUGCAGUUGAAGUUAUGCUGAAGUGUUCAGUUUAAUAGGAUACUAAAAUAUUAUUUGAAGAAGGCCAUAGAAAUGAGAAAAAGGAAACAUAGCAAACCUUUCAUAGAAGUGAUUUUUCCCUGAAUACUUGAAAAAUAGAAGCAAAGGUCCUCAAAUGGUGUAUACAGAAAAUUCAAUAAGAGCUCAAAGAUCACUAUUUAGUCAGUUUUCCAAACAAUUAUCUCACUUUUCUUUGUGUCUCUUUUACUAGAAAUCUAGUUCUUUAAGAUUGUCCUUUAUCUUUUUCCUCUUGCAGCCUUUUAUUUAAGAGUAAAAAAACCUAUAGAGAAAGUAUCUCCUGGCAAAGAGACGAAGCAAAGUGUUUUAAGCCACAGAGAAAAUGAGAUAACAUGGUGGUGGGGAGGAGGGUGUUGUAUAUCGAUAAGGAUGUUACAAACACAGGAGAAUGCUUUGAAUGGCAUUACUAUCUUUAUUUUCAAAAAGAUAUUUAAAUGGCAUCUAACCCAACCCUGAAUCACCAGCUGAUCAAUAUCAGUAAUUUCUCUUCACUUGUGAAAAAUAUUAUCCCUUUUUUGCAAUGUUUAUUCUCAGAUAAUCAAUGCAGUGAUAAAAACCAUCUGGACUUUUUUUUUUGACUGAACGACAAAUAUUCUAGCAAACGAAUUGGAUUAUCACCUCGGAAAGGAAAAUCUUUUCUGAAAGAAAAUUUUAAUAGGGUAAUACUGAUCCAGGAAAUCAAAUAAGUAUGCCAUUAGGUUGUGUUGAUAUGUUUAGCUUUUCAGAAAUAUAAAAGAGAAAUUUCAGGCUGGAGAACUGUGAUCAGCAUAAGUCGGUUGAUUAGAGAAUACUUUGCUUGUUUUGUUGGAGUAUGUAGACUCAAUCUCAGCACUGCUUUAGUAUCAGAUAUUUCAAUAAGCUGCCUCUUAGGUUAAAUUGUACUUAUGUAGCCAUGGUAACAUUGUUGAUGUAGGAUUUAUGUAAAUAUAACAGAGUGGUCAGUAAAGCCAAUAAGAAAUAGGCUCCUAAUAUACUAAUCAUUAUGGCUAGGAAAUGCUUAGAAAAUUAAUAUGCACAAUAAGACAAUAGGUUUCUUUAAGGGAAUGAGCUUUUGGAGAUAUUUUGGGCAGGAAAUGGUUCACCAGACCUUCUCUUUCUGCAGUUAUCUUGAUGCAGAAUGAACUUACGUUUUCUAAGCACACAACUAGCUAAAUCACAAGUGCUUAAUUAUCCCUAUUUAAAUCUGAAACUAAGCUGGUCCAUUGGCUGUUGUGUCACCUGCUCAAGGGAAAAAAAAAGAGCGAAUAUUGGAAGGUUAAAAAAGGCGGCUCAAUUUUCCCUGAAGCCUCAUGCAGAUGGGUGGACCUGACUACCACUGCUGUGAGGAAUGAAACUUGGCCGUGCAGAAAAUGCACUCAGCCAAAUAUAUUGCAUUGUUUCAGAAUGCCAGAAAAAGGCAAGCAAACAGAAACACUGUGGUUGACUACAGUAUUAAGAGGAAGAGCUUAUUCAUACGUUUUUGUUUUAUUAUUUUUCUACUUACAGAAGUAGCAAUCAAAUGUCACUAUUUAGCCACUCCUACCGGAAAGAUUCCAGAUGUAGUUCGAAUCAACAGAAGUUUAAACGCUUAAGAUUUAAUACCCUAGCAUCAGUCAUUUACUGACUUGCUAGUCAUUACAAAUGGGUUUUUUUGGAUUAUAUUUGGAACAGCAAACAUGUAGAUUUGCUAUAAGUAGUUGUCUUAGUAACUUCUAGCACUUGCAGUCCAAGAUACAUUUUAUCUAUAAUAAUAUAAGAUGGAGAAAGAAAGAAAUAAACAAUGAAAACAAUAAAACAAAUACGUUUUUAAAGAAUUUCUAAGGAUGUAUCUCAGUCGCUUGAGUGGUAUAUUGUAUACCUGACUACUUUACUUUUUUAGAGUGAAAAAAAGAUGGAGCACAACUGGGAAAAAUUUAAGCGCUAUAUUGUCUUUGAGAAAACAAACACAACAAAUAAAUAUUGUAGGGAUAAGGAAAGUGUCUAGAGUUAGUAUUUUAUAACACUUUCUCAUUACUGCACUGGACUGUUAGUGAAACCACCCACAGUUUCAGAACUUCAUGGACACAUAAAGCUUAUUCUACUGGGACUGAAUUUAUGUAUGAGCCUUUGAAAGAUCAAGUGACUUUAGCCAUUGCUCUGAAAUCAAGUUUAGCUAAUUUCAUUUAGUUAAUUUUUGCUUUUAUUUAAUUUUUCAUUUGUAUCAAACAUAAAGAAACUGAGUCAACAGACGUAUUGCUAAAUACUUUAAAAGUGACUAGACCUGGACACAGCAUUUGGGAUGUUUUCAAGUCUUUUGUACUAAGAUUAAUUUUCUUGGCUAUGCUCUGAAUAUCAGAUAAGCAGGAAAUCUAAGUUGUUCAGAACAAGAAACAGAACUGACAAGAAACAGAAAAACCUCAUUUUGAAUUACUGCAGUCUUGCAUUUUCUUCUCAGAGUUGUUUGUUUGAUGGUAUGGAACAGCCAGCCCGAAUGGGAGCAAACAGUUGCCAAUCAUUUUCAAAAUAAGUACGCUAAAAUCUCUUCAAGUACAUCCAUAUUCUCUCCACAUCUCACUCCUUCAUCACUGUCUCCACUUUCUGGUCACUAUCCAAAGACUUUUAAGUAUGUAUUAGGUAUUAAAGCUUCUUUUUUGUCAAAAAUAUCACUGAAACAUACAUGUUUAAGAAACCACAACACUGUUCAAGAUGAAAGAUUCUUAAAUAACUAAAGGAACUGAACAUAAUCUCUCAUUUUAUUCGUCUGUGCAUGGAUUUGGAAGCCAUCCCUUCCACAUUCUCCAAAUUCUGUUCCUCUUCUUGCGCUAUUUGUGUUUUGUGCGCUGGCUAUCCUAAUAAGUGUAGUCUAAUAUCACUCAUAUUAAUCAAAAUGUACUGCCUUUAGUGAACCUCUGCGGAUCCAAUUGGUGACAAAAUUUGGCAUAAUAUAUUACGACAUGGAAAAUGUACGGUUAGAGAAGAAAUAACAAGCAUUUAAAUUGUUCUAGCUUGUCUUUAAUCCACACUUUUUUUUUCCAUAUUCCAGGUUCAUUUCAAUUAUUCUACUGAUUUCAGACAUACGACUGCUAUUCCCAUUAACUUAAUGUGUCCGUUGCUUUUCUGUAAAAGAUUUGUGAAGUGUUAUGUAUAUUUGAGGUACAAUGAAUGAUGUAUUUGCAUAUUAGUCAUUUUACUGCAUAGUCUAUGUAUACAAGAAGUACUCAUAACCGAAAAAAUGUGGAUGAAAUAUAAGUUAAUAAAUCACAGAAUAACUGUC